GCCUUAUCAUAUUUGUAAACCCCAUAGUAUUUAGUUGGACAUUUUAAAAUUUAUUUUGACUUGUGGGGAAAGCAUCACUGGAAAAAAAAACUCAGACCUAUUUUCCAAAUUACUAUUUUUUAGCACUGCAACAAGGAUAUUUCCCAGGCUCUCAAAACACAGAGUUGAGGCAAUUGAAGUCAAUUAAUGGCAAAGAUUGUUAUGGGUUGAAUUUCUUUUUUCCUCCAGAUAUAUUUGAAAGUUCUAACCUUCAAUAUCUGUGAAUGGGAUCUUAUUUGGAAAUACAGCCUCUGCAAAUGCUCAAGUUAAGAUGAAGUUUUAGAGUCAAACCCAAUCCAAUAUUACUGCUGUCCUUAUAAAAAGAAAAAAAAAAUGGACAUAGAGACAAACGUAUAGAAAGACGGACUCUUGCUGUGUUGCCAGGCUGGAGAGGAGGACAUGAGGACAUUGCUUUCUCUGGAACGCAAAAGAACAACUUGACACACCUGAUAAAUAGUGCAGAAUAACAAAUUUUUUUAAAAGUUUCUUCAAUGAUUUAAGACGCAUUUGCACUCAAUUGAUUCAGUGUAUAAAAAUUAUUGUGUGGCUAUGGUAGAUCAGUCACUGUAAUAAAUAACCGUUAUACUAAACAAAAAAUUCUAUCUUUAAGAAUUAUCAAAGUACUUAAAAUGUCUAGAAUAUUUUAAUGAAGAGAUUGUAUACAUUGAUAGUGCAAUUCUCAAUUUGAAGAUGGUGGUAAUCUUUAGGAGAUAUAAAGGAUGUUGAUAAUCUGGUGGUUAACUUGUAUAGCACAUUUAUUUCUUUAAAAUUUCUUUCUCUCUUCAGAGAUUAUUUUAAAUGUAAACUUUCACAUUAGCAACCCCCUGUAAAAUUAUGUGGACCCCAUUUCAGAUAAUAAAAAAGUGUAAUUGUGCUCUAAAAAUAGACAAUUUGAAUGAUGAUGACAACAUUGAGAAUUUUAAUACAAGAUAUUAUUAACUGUU
This is a non-coding RNA of Macaca mulatta (Rhesus monkey), 983 nucleotides long. The record is from RefSeq and is a predicted model, not a curated record. Lineage: Eukaryota; Metazoa; Chordata; Mammalia; Primates; Cercopithecidae.